AGAGAGAGACAUGCGCGCAUAUCAAUAAGCGGAGGAAAAGAAACUAACAAGGAUUCCCCUAGUAACGGCGAGUGAAGCGGGAAGAGCUCAAAUUUGAAAUCUUAAAGGGUUUCCCUUUACGAAUUGUAGUUUAAAGAAGUGUUUUCUGUUGAGGUUUUGGUAAAAGUUCUUUGGAAUAGGACAUCAUAGAGGGUGAGAAUCCCGUAUUUGACCUUUACUUUCAACUUUGUGAUACACUUUCAAAGAGUCGGAUUGUUUGGGAAUGCAGUCCAAAAUGGGUGGUAAAUUUCAUCUAAAGCUAAAUAUUGGCGAGAGACCGAUAGCGAACAAGUACCGUGAGGGAAAGAUGAAAAGAACUUUGAAAAGAGAGUUAAACAGUACGUGAAAUUGUCAAAAGGGAAGCGUUUGACACCAGUGUUGUUUUUCUGAAAAUCAAUUAAAGAACUGUUUAUGCUAAGUUGUUUAGACUUUAUCAGCUAACUGUUUAGUUUUGAGCUUUUCUUUAAUGCACUUUUCAGUUAACAAGUCAACAUCAAUUUCUUUUGCUGUAAAAAAGCUUGAGGAAGGUGGCUUGAGAUUCGUCUUAAGUGUUUAUAGCCUCUUGCCUAUGCAGUCGGAGAGAUUGAGGUCUGCAGCGUAGAUCCUUCGGGGCUAAAUGCAUUUGUGCUAAGUUAUAGCAUUUUAUAGACAACUUGCUGACUAUGAUUUGUCUUGUAGCUUACUCGCUUAUGUUAUUUUACCUACGCUUAGGAUGUUGAGCGCAUGUCUCUCUCU
RNAcentral lists this ribosomal RNA (774 nucleotides) under uncultured Neocallimastigales. RNAcentral describes it as "partial large subunit ribosomal RNA". It matches the Rfam family "Eukaryotic large subunit ribosomal RNA", at positions 23 to 616 of the family's 3401-position model. The record is from RNAcentral. Lineage: Eukaryota; Fungi; Neocallimastigomycota; Neocallimastigomycetes; Neocallimastigales.